Molecule: transfer RNA, 69 nt
Filed under: Ovis aries (sheep)
Lineage: Eukaryota; Metazoa; Chordata; Mammalia; Artiodactyla; Bovidae
Rfam family: tRNA
About the family: Transfer RNA (tRNA) molecules are approximately 80 nucleotides in length. Their secondary structure includes four short double-helical elements and three loops (D, anti-codon, and T loops). Further hydrogen bonds mediate the characteristic L-shaped molecular structure. tRNAs have two regions of fundamental functional importance: the anti-codon, which is responsible for specific mRNA codon recognition, and the 3' end, to which the tRNAs corresponding amino acid is attached (by aminoacyl-tRNA synthetases). tRNAs cope with the degeneracy of the genetic code in two manners: having more than one tRNA (with a specific anti-codon) for a particular amino acid; and 'wobble' base-pairing, i.e. permitting non-standard base-pairing at the 3rd anti-codon position.
Source: Rfam by way of RNAcentral
CCUGGUCUCUCGGAAGGUAAAGAAUCUGCCUGCAAUGCAGGAGACCUGGGUUCAAUCCCAGGGUCGGGA